CGUAGGGUGCGAGCGUUAAUCGGAAUUACUGGGCGUAAAGCGUGCGCAGGCGGUUUUGUAAGACAGGUGUGAAAUCCCCGGGCUUAACCUGGGAACUGCGCUUGUGACUGCAAGACUCGAGUACGGCAGAGGGGGGUAGAAUUCCACGUGUAGCAGUGAAAUGCGUAGAGAUGUGGAGGAAUACCGAUGGCGAAGGCAGCCCCCUGGGUCGAUACUGACGCUCAUGCACGAAAGCGUGGGGAGCAAACAGGAUUAGAUACCCUGGUAGUCCACGCCCUAAACGAUGCGAACUAGGUGUUGGGGAAGGAGACUUCCUUAGUACCGCAGCUAACGCGUGAAGUUCGCCGCCUGGGGAGUACGGUCGCAAGAUUA
This 372-nucleotide ribosomal RNA is filed under the name uncultured organism. Its description in RNAcentral is "bacterial SSU rRNA". It matches the Rfam family "Bacterial small subunit ribosomal RNA", at positions 526 to 896 of the family's 1533-position model. The record is from RNAcentral.